CGAGCGACGGACGAGAAGCUUGCUUCUCUGAUGUUAGCGGCGGACGGGUGAGUAACACGUGGAUAACCUACCUAUAAGACUGGGAUAACUUCGGGAAACCGGAGCUAAUACCGGAUAAUAUUUUGAACCGCAUGGUUCAAAAGUGAAAGACGGUCUUGCUGUCACUUAUAGAUGGAUCCGCGCUGCAUUAGCUAGUUGGUAAGGUAACGGCUUACCAAGGCAACGAUGCAUAGCCGACCUGAGAGGGUGAUCGGCCACACUGGAACUGAGACACGGUCCAGACUCCUACGGGAGGCAGCAGUAGGGAAUCUUCCGCAAUGGGCGAAAGCCUGACGGAGCAACGCCGCGUGAGUGAUGAAGGUCUUCGGAUCGUAAAACUCUGUUAUUAGGGAAGAACAUAUGUGUAAGUAACUGUGCACAUCUUGACGGUACCUAAUCAGAAAGCCACGGCUAACUACGUGCCAGCAGCCGCGGUAAUACGUAGGUGGCAAGCGUUAUCCGGAAUUAUUGGGCGUAAAGCGCGCGUAGGCGGUUUUUUAAGUCUGAUGUGAAAGCCCACGGCUCAACCGUGGAGGGUCAUUGGAAACUGGAAAACUUGAGUGCAGAAGAGGAAAGUGGAAUUCCAUGUGUAGCGGUGAAAUGCGCAGAGAUAUGGAGGAACACCAGUGGCGAAGGCGACUUUCUGGUCUGUAACUGACGCUGAUGUGCGAAAGCGUGGGGAUCAAACAGGAUUAGAUACCCUGGUAGUCCACGCCGUAAACGAUGAGUGCUAAGUGUUAGGGGGUUUCCGCCCCUUAGUGCUGCAGCUAACGCAUUAAGCACUCCGCCUGGGGAGUACGACCGCAAGGUUGAAACUCAAAGGAAUUGACGGGGACCCGCACAAGCGGUGGAGCAUGUGGUUUAAUUCGAAGCAACGCGAAGAACCUUACCAAAUCUUGACAUCCUUUGACAACUCUAGAGAUAGAGCCUUCCCCUUCGGGGGACAAAGUGA
Molecule: ribosomal RNA, 991 nt
Filed under: Staphylococcus aureus
Lineage: Bacteria; Bacillati; Bacillota; Bacilli; Caryophanales; Staphylococcaceae
Description: bacterial SSU rRNA
Rfam family: Bacterial small subunit ribosomal RNA
Source: RNAcentral